UUCUCGAGAAGGUGCAUGAAC
Molecule: microRNA, 21 nt
Filed under: Arabidopsis lyrata
Lineage: Eukaryota; Viridiplantae; Streptophyta; Magnoliopsida; Brassicales; Brassicaceae
Description: aly-miR825-3p
Gene: aly-miR825-3p
Source: miRBase by way of RNAcentral